Elaeis guineensis (African oil palm) is the source of this 6820-nucleotide non-coding RNA. NCBI's taxonomy places the organism in Eukaryota, Viridiplantae, Streptophyta, Magnoliopsida, Arecales, Arecaceae. The record is from RefSeq and is a predicted model, not a curated record.
CUUGACACAUGAUUAUUGAAAUUUGGGUUCCAUUCUUUGAGUUUGUUGUUAUUAAUUGAGCUUUGUGAUUGCUAAAUUUAUUAUCUGAUCUUUUAUUAUCAGCUUAUUAGCUGGGAAUUCUUAAUUUAUGAGCAUGAAUAUUAUCUUGGUUCCUAAGUACAAUAUUCUUUCUAACUUAAUUGUUAUGCAGUUUUUUCUUUCCUAGUUUGUCACUUGUGUAAAAAAUGUACAUAUCCAUACCUCAUUUUAUGCUAAAGGUUUGUAAACUUUGUUAGACCUUGAGUUCUGGUCAUCAUGGUACAACACUUACCGUGCCUGUGCCUUAUCAGCACACAGCAUUGACACUAUGCUGGUUGUAUGCCGCUACAUGCUGCUGUGCAGUGCAUGCCAAGCACUGGCCUGUAUAAAUCAUGCAAGUGCCAAUCCAGCAAGCCACUGACAUAGGAAAUUUUAACCCUUGGUUCAAGUAAUUCAUAUCCUAGUUCUAUUGCUUCUCUCUGUGAUUUUGUUCAUUUCUCCUUGAAGGGUUUGGAGGCUUGGUUUGCUUCUUAUACUUGUUUGUUUAUCCUAGUCACUUAAAGAAACAUAACUUGCCAGGACCAAUCUAGCGAAAUGUUUUUCUGUACAAGUGGAAGAAAAUGACUAAUACCUGAUUAAGUUGAAAUAUUACCUACCUUUGUUCUUGAAAGAACAAUGUGGAUUACUACGUCAAAGGCCUAUUAUUGUUUACGAUAAUGUGACUUCCAAAUUAAUGCCUUUCUCUGCAUUUCUCUGUUUACAACUUUACAUUCUAACCUAACAAACUCUAUGGUCAUGAAAGCUUCAAGAAGCAUUGAACAUACAAUCUGUGAAGGGGAUUCUUGUUUGUCAUGCUCAUUCAGACCCAAUAUGCAGCCAUAAAAUCCUAACAAAGUAUUGAUCUACUAUAAAUGUAGCAGGGGAAUGCAUCUAACAAUGCAUUGCAAUAUUGACAUGUUCAACAAACUUAGCUUUCAAUAUGCUCUUCCAUUUUGAGUUUCUAUGUGAUGUAGCCUUGGUUUAUUGUAUAAAAGUACUACUUUGUAACCUGGACUUGUCAGGAUGCUUUUGUGUUGCCUUGUGUGACAUAUAUUUUGAUGUCACAUAAAUCACUCUGUGCCUUGCUGUGCCAGUAUACCUUUGAGUUUAUUGUUGAGGGAUAGAUGAUUGCUGAAUAUAGACAUAUGGUUAAAAUGUAACUUAGAAAACAUAUCUAGAUCCAGAAUUUCACUCCUGAUGAACCUGGAAAUUAACCAGCAUUGCAUAGUUAAUAUUGCAUGUAUUUUCCUUUUUAUUUUUUUUAACAAUAAAUGUGAUAAUAGACAAAGUGCCUUUCAGUGGUUGGACUGAGGGCAGGGCAAUGAAGAUGUUUCAAUUGAAGAGGAUUUCUUCCAGCAGUGGUUUUAACCAGUUUGCUGCAAUGAUCAAAACCCAACAUAUACAAAGUAUACCAAAAGGAGUGGAUGUAUUCUAGGGAAGCCGGUAACUGUUACAAGCUUAUACAUGAAUGAAGAUUAGUGGUAGAAAUGGAGUUGGGAUAUUGCUGAAGAAGAAUGGAAGAAAAAAAUGAUGCAAAUUGGACUGGCUAAUGGCUAUUGAGUUGGAGUUAUUGGAGGAGAUAUUUAAUGGUUAUAUGUAUGAAAAGUAGGAUUUGAGGGGGCAAAAUAGGAACCAAUGAAUGAACUAGUGUAAUAAUCAUGGAGAUGUAGGAUAGCAAUGCAAAGCCUGUUUUGUUUCUUUGCUUUUCAAUUCCUAUGAAUUUGUCGUGGCAAUUUACAUAUAAAAAGUAAAACACUGUUUAACUGACUUUUUGUGAUUCAAUCAAAUGCUUUAUAUUUUUAUUGUUUUCUCCUAGCAAAAUGAAAUCAUCGACAUGCAAAACUUUUGAAGUAGUAUUCUGUGAUCUACUAAUAAAACAUACAGUAGUUGGGAACGUUUAUAGUAAGAGCAAAAAAAGAAAGAGGGAGAUAAACCAUAAAUCACCAUUAAAUAGUAAAUAUAUAAUAUACUUAUGAGUAAGUUGUUAUUGGAAUUUGAAACAUGCAAAAAAACAGCAUAGACUGUAAUGGCAAAUAGAGAAAAAAAUUGAUGAAGAAUAUUUGGAGAAUAUAAUGCCAAAGUUAUGAUGGAGACCAGAAAGCUAUUGGUUAUUUCAUCUCAUAAAGAAUCAUAUAUCAAGUUGGACCUGAAAGAUAGCUAUAAUGAAAAUAUUGAAACAGCUUAGGUGAAGGAGAGGCGAACUGAAAAUAUAGAUCAAAUUAGGCACCAGAAGAGAAGACACUUAUCCUUUCCAUAGAUGGUGAAAUCAAAGAAAUAGAUGGGUUAAGUCUUAUGCCAGUUGAUGACUUUAUUACAGUAACCAUAACUGGGGAUGAUGCAUGUAUACUUUUUGCUCAAUAUAGAUCAUUGAUGCUGAUAAAAUUUUGAAAUGUAUGCUACAGUUGAAGGCAUUACAGACGAAAUUGUGUUUGUUCAGAAAUUCAUAAAUAGCUGAGUUAGUAUGGUUGGGUAGCACAUGUUGUGGGAUUUUUAAGAAAAGUCUGAGGAAAAGAUUAUACUGAAAAAAAAUAGUUGUCAGUAUAAAGGUGGUACAUGGAGGUGCUAGCUUUAUGGAAUGCAAUAUCAAGUUAUGGGACAUAAAAACUUUGAAAAGAAAAUAAUAAAAGGAUCAUUAUUUGGUUUGUCUUUUUGCCAAAGAUGAUCAUCCGAAAAGCUAUUCAGAAGUGUUAAGAGUAGAAUACUCAGCUGAUGUAAAGAUUUAGAGAUGAGAAUCUUCACUUAUGGCAUUUCUAGAUGAGAAAGCAUCUGAUACAGUUUCUUGAGAUAUACUUUGGUCAAAAUUAAGUCAGUAUUGUUUCCUGGAAGGAUAUGUUAGAAAUGUUCAUGAAGAAUGCAGAUUUUAGUUUUGGUCAAAAUAUAGGAGAUACGGUGUGGGCCAGAUUGCCCAAUCCUUUCCUCAAAAAAAAAAGGAGAAGUUGUAGGCCAAAUAUGACAGCCAAAAAUUAAAUUGUGCUUAUUUUUGUUCUCUUCGAACUACUGUACAAAAUAAUUUGAAACUAUAUCAAGGCACAUCUAAUAAUGUAGAACUUAUCUUAGUGAAUAAGUGUGGUGUUUCUGUGUAUGAAUUUGUUGGUUUCCGCAAAUCUGCAAUUCUACUCAUCAGUCUGUUACAUUGCUUUUCUACUGAUUUGUUUUAAAACAUUAGUCUAUGUCCUGUAUGUCAGUGGUCAUGCUGAAGGAUGUAUAACUAGUGCCUCUGAGAUUCUUGUUGUUAGGCAACACCAUGUCCAUGUUGGUCAUAUUACAUAAUGUUUACACCUAACUCAACCAAGCUGUGAAACUGACUAUCUCACCCUGCACACACACACACACAAAAAAAAAAAUCUACUUCCAUGGUCAUUGCUGAGUCAAGAAAAAGGAAAAAAAAAAUCUGUAGCUUGAAGGAAGAUAGAGAGAGCAAGAGCAAGCACAUUGCAGCCGCUACAUUUUUAUUGCAGAGUUCUUCUCUUUGAAACCGUACAAGUUUAUUCCUCAGUUUUAUUCUCCUUGCUUAUAUUCAAGGUAUUCGAAGAGUAAGUUCUGAUAAUAUUGUUCUUUACAUCAUUGCUCAAGAAACAUGGAACUGUUUUAUAGACAUGUUAACAAAUAGAGUCAAUAUGAUUGCUGUAGCUAUUCAGCUGAAAACUGAGAUAUAACCAACCUUUUCAAUUCAGUACGAGGCUGUCGAAGCUUUAUUAAAUCUGGCAAAAAAAUCUUUUAUAUUUGUGAUCUAGGACAGGCUCACUAUUCAUUAGCAGAACUCAUUCAUCUAGGACCACCAUUUCUCAAAUGCUGCCUUAGCUUUUUCCAAAUGGAUUUUCUGAGGUAUGUCAACUAUUUUAUUAAAUGACAUUUGUAACAAGGAUAUUAGGCUAGUGACCUUUUAUGUCAGUUGUCCUGUAGUUAGUGAUUUUUGAGUGCCAUCCAAUAUCAAACUGCCCCCUGAAACUUUAAUACUUCUUCCCCUUGGAUUGUGGGAGUAUCCACUAUUUUGCUUGCCUGACAGGUUGGGUGGCUUGUACCGUGUGGUGCAAAUUGGUUGGGUCCGGUAAGGUUUGACAUCAACCUAGCCUAGCUUGAAAGAGGUCGGUUUGGUUUAGAAUUUGGGUCCAAAUCGGGACAUGCUCAUUAAAAUUACAUCCAGCGGGGUGGGAAUUUAGGCGGUGUCUGGUUGACGGUGAAUAUUAUUCGAGGCAUCUAAACCACUCAAUUCUUUACGUGGGCCUGUGAAAAAGAAGACUCUAGUUGCUUUUCUUACAGUCAUUACUACGAUGCCACAUGUUAGGCAUUCGCUUGUAGGUGACUGACCCACAUAGAAAUAGGCACAAUCACAUUGCUGAGCUCUGAUUCCACUUUCAUCUGGCCUUGCCUGCCCGAACUGUCACAUUGCUCUCAGUCCUCGUUUAGCUUCUCGCUUUUGUUGGGCUGAAAAGUGAAUCAAAAGCAGGGAAGAAUAGGAUGAGACUGAAAAAUUUUCUAGUCUUUGAUGGAACAAAGAAAAUGGAAGAGAAAGUUAUAAUGAUGAUGAUUUAAAUUUGAUUUGGUCGUAUUGAGAUGCUUCUUUCCUAUAUGAUUAGUCACUGGGCAAAGAUUUCCUCUGGAGCUUCUUGUCUUUUUUCCUUUUUUUUUUUUUGACGCAGGAUUAAAGGGGAGAAACAAGAGGCGUCUACCAUCCGUUUACCAAUUACAUAAGAAACAAAAAAUUUUAGCACAAAUCACAACCUCUUCAAACCCAGGAUAAGUAAGUUUGCAGUCAUAUUACCAGGUAAAUUGAAUUCCAUCCUUAUGUCAUCUUGAAUGUAUCUCAGCCAGAGUGAGAAAAGUAAAAUUUUGAACCAUUGGGGGCAAAAAAUCAUCCAAAACCAAAUCAUAUUGCCUGGUCUGUCAUUUUAUUUUUCACAAGUGGGAUCUCUAUCACUGUAGGAUGGAAAAUGAGGCAUUCACCAAACCCUCAGACACUCGCUGGUCUGUCCGUCACCUGAAAAGGUGGAUGCUCUGAGAAAAACAUAUCCCACAUCAUGUGCGCUCUGUUAUAGAAACAAUCCAAGAAAGGCGAGGGCAAGAAUCCACGAAAUUUGUAGGCCCCAUAAGAUGAUGAAUGGCGGCGAUAGAAAUGAAGAACGAGAUUGGCAUGACACACACCGCCGAUGUACACGUAUUGAAGGUAGGUAUAAUUUCUCAGAAGCUAUAGUCAAGCGCAUGCCUCAGCUGCUUCGAGGCAACGUUUGCAUCUCUCAUCCAUUUCUUAGACAAAAGAUCAUAUUGAAAGGUAUUUAGGUGCUAGAUAUGCGCAAAUCCAGUAAGGUCAGAGCUACAAAUCAGGGUCUAAAUCUCGAUCUAGAAGUCUAUUUGAGAUGAUUUGGUAUGAGGAACUCGUGUGGGCAUAUAUAUAGUCCCACAUCGAUGAUUAACUAGAAAGAUCUUGGAUAUUUAUACAAAAUCAAAAAAUUCAAAUAAUAUCUUUUGACUAGUCUUUUUGAAAGCAUUUGAUAAUCCAACUUAGAUUAUCAUGAUGAUCUAAAAUCACUGAUGAUUCAAAUUCGGAGAUGAUCUAAUUUCUAGUGAUCUAACAUCACUAUGUUUGGUUUGUAGAUCUUGAAUUGUUAUAAAUGGUAUUAAAGUGGAUCCAAUCCAUAAUUCAUGUGGACUCAGAAAUACCGUCCUAAGAAUUCAUGGAGUUGAUCACAAACUUUGGACCCUCAGCCUAACGAAGAUACUAGACUUAAAUAAGAAAAAUGUGUGAGGAUUCAUGCAGACAUAUAUUUAAUCCCAUAUCGAUAUCAUUUUUUCGCUGAAAAGAUUUUGGAUACUUAUAUAGAAUUAUAGAAUCUAAAUAAUACUUUCUGUCUAAUCUUUUCGAAUAAGAUCCUCAAUCAUGAUAAUUGAUGUUAAUAUGGAUCCACAUCCAAUCCAACCCACUUGUAUCCUAGCUCGGAUUGCUUGAAUUAGAUGAGUUUGGGUUCAAAAGGUUGGAAUUUAGGCCCAACCUUUGCCUUUUUGAGAGGGAAAAAUUUUUUGUGCACCGCGAGUGCGCGAGUUCGUAUACUGCAUACGGUACUUGGCUUACACGUGGAGACGACAAAUUUUUUUUUUUUUUUAUACACUGUCCGACUUUGUGCGAACCAAUUACCGUGCACGGUGCGCGUCUUCCGCACCGCGCGGUGCACAAAGAAUUUUUCUUUUGGGAGGUACUCAAGCUUUGUGACACAAAGGCGCCGGCAGCAGGCUUUUGGCCUGUUGGCGUCCAAUUUCAACAAGCUUGUUUCUAGAAGAAAUCUUUCCCAAUGGACGGCCAUGAUGGACCCAUCAAGGGGUCCACCGGAUUGGGACUGCACAAUUGAGCCUAGGAGCUUUCGCCUGAUCAAAGCGUCCAGUUCACAGUCCACGUGAUGCGGUCCACUUCGCGCAUUGUGUCUUCUGCUUGUUGAUUUUGAUGCAUGGUGGUUGAUGGACAUGCAUGCCGGACCCAUCUGAGAACAUGCAGGGCCUCGUCAUUUGGAUGGUCUGAUUACUGAUGAGCCAUCAUGAUCUGUCAAAAAGGGCCCAUAAAGAUUUGUGCCAUAUAAUUGGGGGUCCCCAUGGCGUGGGUUGUACUCUUGUCAGGCUUUUGGCAUGGUUGAUGGCCCAUAACGCCACUGCUCGGAGCUCCAGCUUGUGAAGAGGCACCAUCACUAUCUUCACUUUCUUGAGUAAUUUGAAAGUGCUAGCGCUUCUUUUAAUGUAUUUGAUAUUUUUCAUCUAUUAUCAACUUUACAUUUUUUCA